AAGUCGUAACAAGGUCUCCGUUGGUGAAGCCAGCGGAGGGAUCAUUACUGAGUACUACACUCUCUACCCUUUGUGAACUAUUAUACCUGUUGCUUCGGCGGCGCCCGCAAGGGUGCCCGCCGGUCUCAUCAGAAUCUCUGUUUUCGAACCCGACGAUACUUCUGAGUGUUCUUAGCGAACUGUCAAAACUUUUAACAACGGAUCUCUUGGCUCCAGCAUCGAUGAAGAACGCAGCGAAACGCGAUAUGUAAUGUGAAUUGCAGAAUUCAGUGAAUCAUCGAAUCUUUGAACGCACAUGGCGCCUUCCAGUAUCCUGGGAGGCAUGCCUGUCCGAGCGUCGUUUCAACCCUCGAGCCCCUGUGGCCCGGCGUUGGGGAUCUGCCACGGCAGGCCCCUAAAACCAGUGGCGGACCCGAAGGGCCCUCUCCUUUGCGCAGUAGCAUUCGCCUCGCAUCGGGAGUCCUCGGCGUCCUGCCUCUAAACCCCCCACAAGCCCGCUUCGGCGGCACCAAGGUUGACCUCGGAUCAGGUAGGAAUACCCGCUGAACUUAA
This 552-nucleotide ribosomal RNA is filed under the name uncultured fungus. RNAcentral describes it as "eukaryotic LSU rRNA". The stretch from base 187 to 340 matches the Rfam family "5.8S ribosomal RNA". Lineage: Eukaryota; Fungi. The record is from RNAcentral.